Molecule: long non-coding RNA, 1491 nt
Organism: Hordeum vulgare subsp. vulgare (domesticated barley)
Lineage: Eukaryota; Viridiplantae; Streptophyta; Magnoliopsida; Poales; Poaceae
Exons: 2
Source: RefSeq, a predicted model, not a curated record
CCCCACCUAGGAGCUGAUGCUGAUGGUUGAUGCUGAAAGCCAGCGGCAGCGGCGGUUCUGUCCGUGUUGUUCGGGCGUCAGGGAGAGGGAGCCGGCCAUCCACGAAAACGAAGGGGUAAGUGAUUUGGUUGGGCCGGUCUGUCGAUGGAGUGGGCUAUUUUUGUUGGGCCGGUCCAUCGAUGGAGUGGGCUAUUUUUCUACAGGACCAUACAUCGAUCCAGUGCCCAGCCAGCCAACCAGGCCAGGCAUCGAGUAGCAGUUCCCCGUUCCCCCCUCCAUCGAUCCAGCCAUCCAGGUAUCCAGCGCCGCCGCCAGCAGUUCCCGGGCACAGGGGUCGGCAGCUUGCAGGUCGGGCCAACGCCUAGCGGCGGGGGCCGUGGGGGGGGGCUCGAGGCGGACGGUGGCGUGGCAGUAGUUUCAGCGGCCAGAGUACAGAGGUGGAUUUGGGGGCGGCCGGCGGCGGGGCACUAGCUUCAGAAGCCAGAGGUAGAGGUGGAUUUGGGGGCGGCCUGCGGCGGGGAACUGGUGGCGGCCGGCGGCGGGGCAGUAUCUGCCCUACUGAUUUGAGUGCUCGUGAUUGAUUUGGAUGAGGGGGUGGAUUGGGUGGCCGCAGGGAUAGCAGUUGUUGUCGAAGUCGAAGAAGCCGAUGCCGAGGUUGCUUCUGUCGAAGAGGCAGUAGCUUCAGUGGCCAGAUCAACCAAACGGAAACGACCAACUGACUCCAACAACUACCAACAUGUAUCCUCUUCUAGUCUUUUUGUAUCUUUUGAUAUGUUAGUUAGAAUCAGGCGACCAACGGUAACAUGACACUCAUUUUUUAUGCCAUUUGAUGGUGUAGGGCAUUCCUCUGUCAUUUAAUUUGGCUGAUUUGGAUUCUGAUCCUAGCACACGUAAGCAAAUUGAAUAUUAUGUAACUCCAGAAACUAGAGAUGAAAUGAGAAGGGCAUAUUUGUCGAAAAGUGUGGGGCAUUUGUAUGGUCAUGAUUUUCCUCGUACUCGUUUUGGGAAAGAUCUGCGGAGGAGCUCAUUUGCAUGCCUUGAUGAGCCGUCGAGGUCAUCUACCUCCACAAGCCCAUGUUCAUUAUGCAAUUACAUCUUAAAGGUCUCCUUUGGAUAUUGGAAUUAUGGGAUCAUAUUUUGGCAUAAGUGAGCAUUUCAAGCGACAAGAGUCAGUUUACUAGUUUUUAGGAGCUUUUUAAUUUUUUUGUUGUUGAAUGCCACGAGUUUUGAUUAAAUAGAGUUGCAUUUGUUUCGGAAAAAAAUUAGACAUUAAAUGUUCGCCCCAGCUAACUUCAAUUCUUGGGUCCGCCACUGUAUGAUAACAUACCUUCAUUGAUACUAGGAUUAGCCCUAAUCACGGGGAGGUGAAAGGUGCUUCUAAAAUCUUGCUUGAAAGCAUCAAUGGAGCAUUGUUUAUUCUCAAAUAUCUUGUCAUUCCUUUGGUUCCAUAUGGACCACCACCCAAUAAUAAGGAUUUCCAUGAAAAUAUCC